RNAcentral lists this non-coding RNA (44 nucleotides) under unclassified sequences. RNAcentral describes it as "SAM-SAH-Weickhmann-2018 RNA". It matches the Rfam family "SAM/SAH riboswitch aptamer". The record is from RNAcentral.
CCGGCACAACGGCUUCCUGGCGUGUCGGAUGCAUCAAUGGAGCG